UACGUAGGGUGCAAGCGUUGUCCGGAAUUAUUGGGCGUAAAGAGCUCGUAGGCGGUUUGUCGCGUCUGCUGUGAAAACUCGGGGCUCAACUCCGAGCUUGCAGUGGGUACGGGCAGACUAGAGUGCGGUAGGGGAGACUGGAAUUCCUGGUGUAGCGGUGAAAUGCGCAGAUAUCAGGAGGAACACCGAUGGCGAAGGCAGGUCUCUGGGCAUUAACUGACGCUGAGGAGCGAAAGCAUGGGGAGCGAACAGG
This 253-nucleotide ribosomal RNA is filed under the name uncultured bacterium. RNAcentral's name for it is "partial 16S ribosomal RNA". It matches the Rfam family "Bacterial small subunit ribosomal RNA", at positions 524 to 776 of the family's 1533-position model. The record is from RNAcentral.